Leptidea sinapis is the source of this 3539-nucleotide RNA transcript. It is a transcript of the gene named activated Cdc42 kinase-like, with no coding region annotated. The transcript has 26 exons. The record is from RefSeq and is a predicted model, not a curated record. NCBI's taxonomy places the organism in Eukaryota, Metazoa, Arthropoda, Insecta, Lepidoptera, Pieridae.
AGAGAGGAGUUUAUCUGAGUAUAUACAUAAUAUUAUUACAACGUUCAAGACUUGUACAUAGUAGAAGUUAAAAAUAUAUUUACAUUUUUUAAACUCAUAAAGUACAUUUAAUAUAGUAAAUUAUUAAUAAAACAUUGUGUUACUGGAAAACAAUCAAAGUAUUAUUUGUGGAAGAUAUAGAAAAAUGGCCAACUCUACAGAUGAUCGUGAAUCCCUCCGUGAGUUUUUAGUAGAAGCAGAGUUGGGACAUCACGUUGAUAAAUUCAGAAAGGUUUUAAACAUAACUAAUUUUUCUCAGCUGCAUUAUGUAACUGUAGAGGAUUUAGUAAAUGUUGGGUUAUCAAAACCAGAGCAGAGAAGAUUUAAGAAACGAUUACAUAAACAUUUCCCACAUAAUUAUUUAAUGAGAUUCAAAAAGCUAUUCCGCACACACAACAGAACCCAUGAAAAUGCAAAUCAUGGAACUGCUUUACCAACAUGUUUUGAUACACCUCCGGCGGCUGAAGGAUAUGUAAAAAUGUCGCCAAAGCACAUUAUCUCUGAAGAAGAUGUAACGAUUAAUAAGGAAUUAGGUAUGGGGCAGUUUGGGGUUGUUCAACAGGGGACAUGGAAUACAGGCAAUCAAAGGUUACAAGUUGCCAUCAAAUGUCUUGGUAAUGAACGAAUGACUUCAAACUCCGCUGAGUUUCUUAAAGAAGCAGCUGUGAUGCAUAGCAUUGAGCAUCCUAAUAUUGUCAGGCUGUAUGGAGUAGUUUUACAUAUGGAGUCCCUUAUGUUGGUAACGGAACUCGCGCCGCUCAGAUCACUUUUGGAAUGUCUGCGUGAGGUUACAUUCCGACGCAACUUCCCAGUACCAAACCUGUGCGAGUUCGCUGAACAAAUCUGUGAUGGAAUGACUUAUCUUGAGACUAAAAGACUGAUUCAUAGAGAUCUCGCUGCGAGAAAUAUAUUGGUAUUUAACAAGAAUAAGGUAAAAAUAUCAGAUUUUGGAUUAUCAAGAGCGCUCGGUGUGGGAAAGGAUUAUUACCAAACGAAUUAUAACGUGGAACUAAAACUUCCGGUUGCGUGGUGUGCCCCGGAAUGUAUUCUGUUCUUACGCUUUACAUCUGCAAGUGAUAUUUGGGCCUUCGGAGUCUGCCUUUGGGAGAUGUUCACAUAUGGCUUUCAACCAUGGGUGGCGUUAUCUGGUCAGCAGAUACUCGAAGCUAUUGACGCACCAAAUUACCAGAGAUUAGAACGACCUGAGUGUUGCCCGGACGCUUACUACAACUUGAUGCUGGAGUGUUGGGCACACAUGCCUAACCGCAGACCGAAAUUCAGGGAUUUGAAUUCAAGGUUAAAACAUAUAAGACCAGAACAGGUACAAACAACGCGUAGCUGUCAGAAGGCGGAACAAGCACGUCGAAGUAAUCUCCUCGACUAUAAAGUCGGAGAUCAGAUCACUGUGCUCGGAAAGGAGAACUACACUAAGAGUUCGAUGUGGUAUGGAGUUUCAUCCAAUGGUGCAUGCGGGAUAUUCGAUCCCAAAAAUACGAAACCUAUAGUGAAGUUAGAGAGAUCAUUCGCAAGUUCGUUCUCACCACAUAUGUCACGAUCGAACCGUUCGAUCCAUUCAUCCAUAUUGCGGUCGGAUGUAAACCGGCACACGUUUACCGGUAAACGGACCAUCCAACGGAGCAUGAUCUCGAGCCCCAUUGGUGAUCUUAAGCAUACGAGCCAUGUGGGACUCGAUGGCGCUUACUUCGGAGACAUCUCGUUCUUGGAUCCUGGCACAUGUCCUCCUCGGCAGAUUGUGACGCCGUAUAAGCCUUCGGAGGACCUGGAACAGGUGCCGCUCAUCAACCCGAAUUCACCUUCACAUCUUAGCGGGACGAAUACGCCGUACCCGCUUCUCAUCUCGGAGGCCAGGGGUGACUGUGAUCAGGUCGACUCAGCGUGUGCAGAAUCGAAAUCUAAGACUACUAAAAAGACCCAUUUCAAAUCUAUCUUAGAGCCAACUACAAGCAAAAGUCUUCUUAGUAAGGUAAAAUCGGCGACGCUCGGGCGCUCACAUAAAGCUGAUGAUGGAUCAGCGAAAAGUUCCGAUGUGCACGAGUAUCACGAAAUAUCUGAUACUGAUACAGAAAGUAACGCGACCGAUAAUGCAAAAUCCGAAGUUCCACCGGAAAGUCCUGGUAUAUCGAAAGCUUAUAGUUUUAGUCAAAGCUUAAUAGCUGAAAUGGAAGUUAUGUUUCGUAACUUCGAUGAUCAGAAGCAACAAGGUCAACGUCACAUACGUCAAACGCGUGCUGAUUUUGACGUCGCCAAAAGAGCAAAUACAUUAAGCAAAGCGGAGAGAAAGAAAUCCGUCUACACAGGAACAAUGAAACCGAUGUCAGCGCACGACGAGAAGACACUCGCAACAGCUGUUGCUAUGGCAAAUGAAAUUACAAACAAAUCCAUGACAGACUUGGACGAAGCUAAAUUGCCUCCGACGCCGAGUGAAAAGUCCAAGUUUCUCUUCAAGUUGCCCCUAGUUGGCCAUAGCCAUCACGAAGUUGAAAAAGAGACCAGUGUGAAGCGAAACUUCAGCGAGGAGGCGAACAGUGUCCUGAACAUUCAGGAAUCGAUAACGGAAAUGUCUAAAAUAGCUUAUGCCAGUUUAGUGGAAGAGCCAACUCCACCUUUGGCAGUUGUCAACCACACAAACGCUAUAAAACCCAAGACUCCUCCACGCAAGAUAAACGACUGGGGCCACCCAAGCACAAUGGCAAAACCUUUUGCAUCUGGUUCGGGAAUAUGCCUACCUGCCGAAGAGACGGUGGAUGUCAAUAAUCAGCCAAUAAAUAUAGUACCCUUGCCGCCGCGUGGAACAAAACCAAAACUGGUUGAUAAGCCUCGGCAUGUGCGUAAACAUCCUCUUAUCCUAAACAGUGCUGACAUCCCACCACCUCCAAAAAAUGUCGGUACCCAAACUGCGCCAUUGCCUAUCAUUUACGUUAAUACCCAGGCUUUGGUACAUAAAAAAAUCAUUUAUAGGCCAACCUUACCUCCAAGGCCUCCCACCACCAACCCAUUCACAGACCCCUAUCCCCAAAUCGAAAUCUCCGAUCUAUCCUCGAAUCCUUUCAACUGCUACAUAGGCAACCUGGCCGCUGUAGCUGACCCUGGGGAAGACACAAUUUUCGAGGAAGUGCAUCUUACAGGUAGGGAUACGAUUGUCUACAAAAAUAACAGGAUCAUGUUUCAGUAGAAGAUUUAUUGCAGUUCGCGGAUCGGAAACCAUCAUCAAAACAACGUGGCGUGGAAUCUGAUGAAGUCCGAAUCAUGAGCAAAGUUUUAAAAGAGCAGGCUUCCCCGGAGGAAUGUCUUGAAGCGCUGGAGUUUACGGACUGGGAUAUCCACGUGGCCAUCAAACUGCUCCAAAUAAAAGGUUCGAUGGUUGGUGCUACGAAUGUCACGCUUAAAGAUUGUCAAGACGAGCUGAACAAGGCUGAGGGUGAUGUCGCUAAAGCUGCAGCAGCUCUUAUAUAAAAUAAACUUUAAGACUAUGAGUCAUA